Otolemur garnettii (small-eared galago) is the source of this 76-nucleotide non-coding RNA. NCBI's taxonomy places the organism in Eukaryota, Metazoa, Chordata, Mammalia, Primates, Galagidae. The record is from Rfam.
GCAGUGCCCUAUCCAGAAUGGAGUGAAUUACAUAGAAGAUGUGUGUAAUUGAGUCCUUUCUGGGUAGAGUAAGGCU